GAUCUCCAGCUUGCUGGGGGGAUUAGUGGCGAACGGGUGAGUAACACGUGAGUAACCUGCCCUUAACUCUGGGAUAAGCCUGGGAAACUGGGUCUAAUACCGGAUAUGACUCCUCAUCGCAUGGUGGGGGGUGGAAAGCUUUUUGUGGUUUUGGAUGGACUCGCGGCCUAUCAGCUUGUUGGUGAGGUAAUGGCUUACCAAGGCGACGACGGGUAGCCGGCCUGAGAGGGUGACCGGCCACACUGGGACUGAGACACGGCCCAGACUCCUACGGGAGGCAGCAGUGGGGAAUAUUGCACAAUGGGCGCAAGCCUGAUGCAGCGACGCCGCGUGAGGGAUGACGGCCUUCGGGUUGUAAACCUCUUUCAGUAGGGAAGAAGCGAAAGUGACGGUACCUGCAGAAGAAGCGCCGGCUAACUACGUGCCAGCAGCCGCGGUAAUACGUAGGGCGCAAGCGUUAUCCGGAAUUAUUGGGCGUAAAGAGCUCGUAGGCGGUUUGUCGCGUCUGCCGUGAAAGUCCGGGGCUCAACUCCGGAUCUGCGGUGGGUACGGGCAGACUAGAGUGAUGUAGGGGAGACUGGAAUUCCUGGUGUAGCGGUGAAAUGCGCAGAUAUCAGGAGGAACACCGAUGGCGAAGGCAGGUCUCUGGGCAUUAACUGACGCUGAGGAGCGAAAGCAUGGGGAGCGAACAGGAUUAGAUACCCUGGUAGUCCAUGCCGUAAACGUUGGGCACUAGGUGUGGGGGACAUUCCACGUUUUCCGCGCC
This 766-nucleotide ribosomal RNA is filed under the name bacterium. RNAcentral's name for it is "bacterial SSU rRNA". It matches the Rfam family "Bacterial small subunit ribosomal RNA", at positions 70 to 847 of the family's 1533-position model. The record is from RNAcentral.